AACCUCACUAAUGCCUUGCAUCAUCUAUAUUAGAUAUAUAACAACAGGCGGGUGGCGGAGGGGUUGUGGUUUUGAUAAAAAGUUGGUUAGGGUGAUUGGCGGGUGGAUGACGACUUUUGUGAUGUGGUUGCGGAUGAAAUAAUUGCCUAUCCGCGCAUCUCUAAUGGGCGGGGCUUUUUACGAUUAUUAACCCCUUAGUAACAAAAACAAUAGCCACCAAGAUAAAGUGUUUGUUUUCUACCGAGUUACCCACUGUGGACAGACCAAGACAAGAAAUACAGGUUCAACCGGAACAGGAAACCACUUUUUGGCAGGCACUCCCAUUUUGGCACAACACCUGCUCCUGACGGAAGCCGGAAGUGACGCUGAGGUCACCUCCAGCCAGUGUUUCAUCCUCGGCAAGGGGCGGGACUCGUGGCGCACCUGUUCUCAAUUAACCCGGCAGUAUUUAGGCUCGUCACUGACACCUUGGCCUCGAACUCCUCUCGUGCAUGCACCUGCUUCACCAGUCCCGCGUCGGCGCCGGGCUCGCACAGAAAGGCGAGUAAAAGGCACAGAGGUCGGCAGCAGUAAAAAGAAGCAGAGUAAGGCGUAAGACCCACAAUCAGUCCGUCUUCUGGCGAGUCCUCGUGUCCUCCCAGGAAAUCGAAGCCUCCUGAGACAUUCUGAGCAGAGCGACGCCGACGCACACCGUGGUGACGCCACAAAGUACGGCGAGGCCGUCGACUGCCGUCGGCGCCGCCCACUCCCUGAAGACCAGCGCCGACGCCAGCGGGACGGCACAAGUGAAGGCCGCAAAGUAAACGGCCUCGAAGGCGUCGCAGCGGAAAGACUCCAGCGCCUUGUUGAUGUAGUAAAACUGGAGCAGGACGCCGGUGCCCAGCACUCCCAAGAGCCCCAGGAAAAGGGCAAGGGCGUGGCUGUCACGCGGUUCCUCGCCAAAGACGUGGCGUGCCGCCAGGCCGAGUCCUUUGCUGCUGGGCACGGUGAAGACGCCUAGCAGGGAGCAUAUGGACACGUAGACCGCCAUGUUGGAGUGGCCGUACCGAGGAACCAUCCAUCCCAUCAGCACCGCCAGCAUCAGCACCACCGCCAGCAGGAAGCUCAGCAAGACUGCAAACAAUGACAUGUUUACACCAAGAACUGAACCAUGUCCUGAAAGGUCAACAAGACUGCAAACAAUGACAUUUUUACACCAAGAACUGAACCAUGUCCUGAAAGGUCAACAAAAUAGGCAAAGUGAUGUGCACGCCAGCUUUCUGAGGGAUCACUUGUGCACGCCAGUUUUCCGAGACUCUGUAUUUAGUUAGCGCAGGCAGCAUGAAGCAGGGCUUUUAUUGUGAAGAUAGGAAAUGUGCAGUCGGCCUUAAGAGUUUUGACGGAAGGUACGGCGCGAGAGUCUGUUGAAAUAAAAAGUGUUUCUCGC
Nerophis ophidion (straightnose pipefish) is the source of this 1426-nucleotide long non-coding RNA. RefSeq lists it as uncharacterized. The transcript has 4 exons. Lineage: Eukaryota; Metazoa; Chordata; Actinopteri; Syngnathiformes; Syngnathidae. The record is from RefSeq and is a predicted model, not a curated record.